RNAcentral lists this ribosomal RNA (249 nucleotides) under uncultured bacterium. Its description in RNAcentral is "partial 16S ribosomal RNA". It matches the Rfam family "Bacterial small subunit ribosomal RNA", at positions 524 to 772 of the family's 1533-position model. The record is from RNAcentral.
UACGUAGGGUGCAAGCGUUAUCCGGAAUUAUUGGGCGUAAAGAGCUCGUAGGCGGUUUGUCACGUCUGCUGUGAAAACUGGAGGCUCAACCUCCAGCCUGCAGUGGGUACGGGGCAGACUAGAGUGCGGUAGGGGAGAUUGGAAUUCCUGGUGUAGCGGUGGAAUGCGCAGAUAUCAGGAGGAACACCAAUAGCGAAGGCAGCUCGCUGGGACGUACUGACACUGGAGGCGCGAAAGCUGGGGAGCAAC